GGGGCUGUAGCUCAGCAGCAGAGCACUUGUCUAGCAUGCAUGAGACACUGAGUUCCAUCCUUAGCACCGCCU
Non-coding RNA from Ictidomys tridecemlineatus (thirteen-lined ground squirrel), 72 nucleotides. NCBI's taxonomy places the organism in Eukaryota, Metazoa, Chordata, Mammalia, Rodentia, Sciuridae. The record is from Rfam.